UGCGAAGGGGGCUAGCGUUGUUCGGAAUUACUGGGCGUAAAGCGCGCGUAGGCGGACAUCUAAGUCAGGGGUGAAAUCCCAGGGCUCAACCCUGGAACUGCCUUUGAUACUGGACGUCUGGAGUUCGGGAGAGGUGAGUGGAAUUCCUAGUGUAGAGGUGAAAUUCGUAGAUAUUAGGAAGAACACCAGUGGCGAAGGCGGCUCACUGGUCCGGUACUGACGCUGAGGUGCGAAAGCGUGGGGAGCAAACAGG
This 253-nucleotide ribosomal RNA is filed under the name uncultured bacterium. Its description in RNAcentral is "partial 16S ribosomal RNA". It matches the Rfam family "Bacterial small subunit ribosomal RNA", at positions 524 to 776 of the family's 1533-position model. The record is from RNAcentral.